RNAcentral lists this ribosomal RNA (484 nucleotides) under uncultured bacterium. Its description in RNAcentral is "partial 16S ribosomal RNA". It matches the Rfam family "Bacterial small subunit ribosomal RNA", at positions 30 to 507 of the family's 1533-position model. The record is from RNAcentral.
AUUGAACGCUGGCGGCAGGCCUAACACAUGCAAGUCGAGCGGAUGAAGGGAGCUUGCUCCUGGUUUCAGCGGCGGACGGGUGAGUAAUGCCUAUGAAUCUGCCUCGUAGUGGGGGAUAACGUCCGGAAACGGGCGCUAAUACCGCAUACGCCCUGCGGGAGAAAGCGGGGGAUCUUCGGACCUCACGCUAUCAGAUGAGCCUAGGUCGGAUUAGCUAGUUGGUGGGGUAAAGGCCUACCAAGGCGACGAUCCGUAACUGGUCUGAGAGGAUGAUCAGUCACACUGGAACUGAGACACGGUCCAGACUCCUACGGGAGGCAGCAGUGGGGAAUAUUGGACAAUGGGCGAAAGCCUGAUCCAGCCAUGCCGCGUGUGUGAAGAAGGUCUUCGGAUUGUAAAGCACUUUAAGUUGGGAGGAAGGGCAGUAAGUUAAUACCUUGCUGUUUUGACGUUACCAACAGAAUAAGCACCGGCUAACUUCGUG